GCCGGGCACAGUGUCAUGUGCCUAUAGUCCCAGCUACUCGGGAGGCUGAAGCGGGAGGAUCGCUUAAGCCCAGGAGUUCUGGGCUGUAGUGCACUGUGUUGAUAGGGUGUCUGCACUAAGUUUGGCAUCAGUAUGGUGACCUCCCGGGAGUGGGGGACCACCAGGUUGCCUAAGGAGGGGUGAACUGGCCCAGGUCGGAAAUGGAGCAGGUUAAAACUCCCGUGCUGAUCAGUAGUGGGAUUGCGCCUGUCAAUAGCCACUGCACUCCAGCCUGGGCAACAUAGCGAGACCCUGUCUCA
RNAcentral lists this signal recognition particle RNA (299 nucleotides) under Aotus nancymaae (Ma's night monkey). RNAcentral describes it as "Metazoan signal recognition particle RNA (ENSANAG00000010218.1)". It matches the Rfam family "Metazoan signal recognition particle RNA". Rfam says of the family: The signal recognition particle (SRP) is a universally conserved ribonucleoprotein. It is involved in the co-translational targeting of proteins to membranes. Lineage: Eukaryota; Metazoa; Chordata; Mammalia; Primates; Aotidae. The record is from RNAcentral.